CCUACGGUAGGCAGCAGUGGGGACUAUUUGGCACUGAGCGCAAGCCUGACCCAGCAACGCCGCGUGAAGGAAGCAGGCUUUCGGGUUGUAAACUUCUUUUGUCAGGGACGGGUAGAAGACGGUACCUGACGAAUAAGCCACGGCUAACUACGUGCCAGCAGCCGCGGUAAUACGUAGGUGGCAAGCGUUGUCCGGAUUUACUGGGUGUAAAGGGCGUGUAGCCGGGUUGACAAGUCAGAUGUUAAAUCCUUCGGCUUAACCGCAGAACUGCAUUUGAAACUGUUGAUCUUGAGUACUGGAGAGGGAGAUGGAAUUCCUAGUGGAGCGGUGAAAUGCGUAGAUAUUAGGAGGAACACC
Molecule: ribosomal RNA, 357 nt
Filed under: uncultured bacterium
Lineage: Bacteria
Description: partial 16S ribosomal RNA
Rfam family: Bacterial small subunit ribosomal RNA
Source: RNAcentral